GACGAACGCUGGCGGCGUGCUUAACACAUGCAAGUCGAACGGAAAGGCCCUGCUUUUGUGGGGUGCUCGAGUGGCAAACGGGUGAGUAACCCGUGAGUAACCUGCCCUUGACUUUGGGAUAACUUCAGGAAACUGGGGCUAAUACCGGAUAGGAGCUCCUGCUGCAUGGUGGGGGUGGGAAAGUUUCGGCGGUUGGGGAUGGACUCGCGGCUUAUCAGCUUGUUGGUGGGGUAGUGGCUUACCAAGGCUUUGACGGGUAGCCGGCCUGAGAGGGUGACCGGCCACAUUGGGACUGAGAUACGGCCCAGACUCCUACGGGAGGCAGCAGUGGGGAAUAUUGCACAAUGGGCGGAAGCCUGAUGCAGCAACGCCGCGUGCGGGAUGACGGCCUUCGGGUUGUAAACCGCUUUCGCCUGUGACGAAGCGUGAGUGACGGUAAUGGGUAAAGAAGCACCGGCUAACUACGUG
This 468-nucleotide ribosomal RNA is filed under the name uncultured bacterium. Its description in RNAcentral is "partial 16S ribosomal RNA". It matches the Rfam family "Bacterial small subunit ribosomal RNA", at positions 28 to 507 of the family's 1533-position model. The record is from RNAcentral.